AGUGAACGCUGGCGGUAGGCCUAACACAUGCAAGUCGAACGGCAGCACAGUAAGAGCUUGCUCUUACGGGUGGCGAGUGGCGGACGGGUGAGGAAUACAUCGGAAUCUACUUUUUCGUGGGGGAUAACGUAGGGAAACUUACGAUAAUACCGCAUACGACCUACGGGUGAAAGCAGGGGAUCUUCGGACCUUGCGCGAUUGAAUGAGCCGAUGUCGGAUUAGCUAGUUGGCGGGGUAAAGGCCCACCAAGGCGACGAUCCGUAGCUGGUCUGAGAGGAUGAUCAGCCACACUGGAACUGAGACACGGUCCAGACUCCUACGGGAGGCAGCAGUGGGGAAUAUUGGACAAUGGGCGCAAGCCUGAUCCAGCCAUACCGCGUGGGUGAAGAAGGCCUUCGGGUUGUAAAGCCCUUUUGUUGGGAAAGAAAAGCAGCAGAUGAAUACCCCGCUGUUCUGACGGUACCCAAAGAAUAAGCACCGGCUAACUUCGUG
Molecule: ribosomal RNA, 492 nt
Filed under: uncultured bacterium
Lineage: Bacteria
Description: partial 16S ribosomal RNA
Rfam family: Bacterial small subunit ribosomal RNA
Source: RNAcentral